This is a long non-coding RNA of Schistocerca cancellata (South American locust), 427 nucleotides long. RefSeq lists it as uncharacterized. The record is from RefSeq and is a predicted model, not a curated record. The transcript is spliced from 3 exons. Lineage: Eukaryota; Metazoa; Arthropoda; Insecta; Orthoptera; Acrididae.
CGUCUGUUUCUAUGCCACGGGAGGAGUAGUCGUUUUUGAUGAAAUGCUCUGCAAAUGUGGAAAGUAUGCUGUCACUUUUCAGUGAUUAUAAAUGCUCGGAGUAUCAAAUUCGGAAAUUUCUGCAUAUUUGUCCAAUGUAUCUGAGUAUCUUAUUGAGAAAUUUCUGCAUGUGUGCCCAAUGUAUACUGAAUUACAGUAUUUGCAGAAAUGAAAUGGAGCAAAGAGGCAUUGAGCAUCUUAAAUCUGGCACACAGCAAGGAAAACUAUAUGUAUGACCCGCUGUAUCAGAAUAAGCAUGCCUUCAAGAGAAAUUGGUAGUGACAGGGGAGAAUGUCUGUUCAAUUUGGUCCAGUGCGACAGACGAGAACUUCAAAACUCUGAGUAGCACAUAUACAUAGUACAAACUUGGGGAAAAUAACAUAAGUGC